UACGUAGGGUGCGAGCGUUAAUCGGAAUUACUGGGCGUAAAGCGUGCGCAGGCGGCUCAUUAAGACAGGCGUGAAAUCCCCGGGCUUAACCUGGGAACUGCGCUUGUGACUGGUGGGCUGGAGUGUGUCAGAGGGAGGUGGAAUUCCACGUGUAGCAGUGAAAUGCGUAGAGAUGUGGAGGAACACCGAUGGCGAAGGCAGCCUCCUGGGACAACACUGACGCUCAUGCACGAAAGCGUGGGGAGCAAACAGG
RNAcentral lists this ribosomal RNA (253 nucleotides) under uncultured bacterium. RNAcentral's name for it is "partial 16S ribosomal RNA". It matches the Rfam family "Bacterial small subunit ribosomal RNA", at positions 524 to 776 of the family's 1533-position model. The record is from RNAcentral.